Molecule: ribosomal RNA, 495 nt
Filed under: uncultured bacterium
Lineage: Bacteria
Description: partial 16S ribosomal RNA
Rfam family: Bacterial small subunit ribosomal RNA
Source: RNAcentral
UGACCGCUGGCGGCGUGCCUAAUGCAUGCAAGUAGAACGCUGAAGGAAGGAGCUUGCUCUUUCCGGAUGAGUUGCGAACGGGUGAGUAACGCGUAGGUAACCUGCCUGGUAGCGGGGGAUAACUAUUGGAAACGAUAGCUAAUACCGCAUAACAGUAGAUGUUGCAUGAUAUCUACUUAAAAGGUGCAAUUGCACCACUACCAGAUGGACCUGCGUUGUAUUAGCUAGUUGGUGAGGUAACGGCUCACCAAGGCGACGAUACAUAGCCGACCUGAGAGGGGGAUCGGCCACACUGGGACUGAGACACGGCCCAGACUCCUACGGGAGGCAGCAGUAGGGAAUCUUCGGCAAUGGACGGAAGUCUGACCGAGCAACGCCGCGUGAGUGAAGAAGGUUUUCGGAUCGUAAAGCUCUGUUGUAAGAGAAGAACGAGUGUGAGAGUGGAAAGUUCACACUGUGACGGUAUCUUACCAGAAAGGGACGGCUAACUACGUG